This 825-nucleotide long non-coding RNA is filed under the name Mus caroli (Ryukyu mouse). Its description in RNAcentral is "lncRNA (MGP_CAROLIEiJ_G0002766.1)". Lineage: Eukaryota; Metazoa; Chordata; Mammalia; Rodentia; Muridae. The record is from RNAcentral.
GUGACCUCAGUGACUCUGUCCCUGACUCUGCCCCUUGUGAUGACCCCACCACUGACCCGCAGGCCUUGGAGGGGCUGAUCCUGGAGAAGCCAAAGGACCAGGAGGACACCAUGGGGGUGCUGCUCAGGCUGAGUGGGAAACAGAGCAGUACAGCUUCAUCAUGAGGGUAGCCAUUGUCAUCUGGGGCAUCCACGGGGGCCCUGCUCAGGAAGUGGGCACCUUCCAUGAGGAAACGUGUAUGACUUUCUCUCCACGGUAGGAGGAGCUGAUCCAUGACUACUUGGACACCAGCUAAGGAUGGGACAAGGCCGGGGCCUAUGCCAUCCAUGCGUGGGGAGCAAUGCUGGUGGAAGGCGGAUUUUGCAACAUCCUCAAUGCUGCGGGCAUCUCACUGAACCACUUCAGCUGCGAGCUUGCAAGGGUGCUGCCAGGGACAGGAAGUGACAUCGCUGUGGAGGGGACGGCAGGAAGUGAGCUGGAAGAAAAGUGUUUUGAAACUGACCCUACAGAUAAAAAGAGUUCAUUGUGAAUGCGAUACCCUCCUAUACUGUUGUCAGAAGCAACCCUCCAUCUCCAACUCCAAAAAUAAAUGAAAACCAAACCACACAGUUGGAAAUCAGCAAGAAGAGAACGGAUGGUGGAUGGCAGCAGAUGGACAGGAGAGCGCUCAGCAGCACUUGCUCUUCCAGCCCGUCACGCCUCCUCCACUGCUGAUAUCUACGUUUUCACUGUUGGGUUCUUUUACAGGGGUCUGCAACAACACAAGGAAGCAAGCAACCCGUGAGAAAACACUGGCAUGGAUGAAAACAGACUCACUGGAAAGAC